Molecule: ribosomal RNA, 671 nt
Filed under: Bacillus pumilus
Lineage: Bacteria; Bacillati; Bacillota; Bacilli; Caryophanales; Bacillaceae
Description: bacterial SSU rRNA
Rfam family: Bacterial small subunit ribosomal RNA
Source: RNAcentral
UUAGCGGCGGACGGGUGAGUAACACGUGGGUAACCUGCCUGUAAGACUGGGAUAACUCCGGGAAACCGGAGCUAAUACCGGAUAGUUCCUUGAACCGCAUGGUUCAAGGAUGAAAGACGGUUUCGGCUGUCACUUACAGAUGGACCCGCGGCGCAUUAGCUAGUUGGUGAGGUAACGGCUCACCAAGGCGACGAUGCGUAGCCGACCUGAGAGGGUGAUCGGCCACACUGGGACUGAGACACGGCCCAGACUCCUACGGGAGGCAGCAGUAGGGAAUCUUCCGCAAUGGACGAAAGUCUGACGGAGCAACGCCGCGUGAGUGAUGAAGGUUUUCGGAUCGUAAAGCUCUGUUGUUAGGGAAGAACAAGUGCAAGAGUAACUGCUUGCACCUUGACGGUACCUAACCAGAAAGCCACGGCUAACUACGUGCCAGCAGCCGCGGUAAUACGUAGGUGGCAAGCGUUGUCCGGAAUUAUUGGGCGUAAAGGGCUCGCAGGCGGUUUCUUAAGUCUGAUGUGAAAGCCCCCGGCUCAACCGGGGAGGGUCAUUGGAAACUGGGAAACUUGAGUGCAGAAGAGGAGAGUGGAAUUCCACGUGUAGCGGUGAAAUGCGUAGAGAUGUGGAGGAACACCAGUGGCGAAGGCGACUCUCUGGUCUGUAACUGACGCUGA